This is a regulatory RNA element of 114 nucleotides. It matches the Rfam family "THF (Tetrahydrofolate) riboswitch aptamer". Rfam says of the family: THF riboswitch presents a pseudoknot that joins P1-P2 and the loop of P3 and two THF binding. The record is from Rfam.
UUUGGGGUAGGAUGUAACGCGUAAAGUGUCGAAGGGACGGAAUGUGACCUUCGAACGAAAAGCCAUCAGGUCGACUUUCUGGUAGCUUGCGGUGUUGCUUUCGCAUUCGCCAUU